AGGGUUUGAUCCUGGCUCAGGAUGAACGCUGGCGGCGUGCUUAACACAUGCAAGUCGAACGGGAAACAUUUCAUUGAGGCUUCGGCGGAUUUGGUCUGUUUCUAGUGGCGGACGGGUGAGUAACGCGUGGGUAACCUGCCUUAUACUGGGGGAUAACAGCCAGAAAUGACUGCUAAUACCGCAUAAGCGCACAGAACCGCAUGGUUCGGUGUGAAAAACUCCGGUGGUAUAAGAUGGACCCGCGUUGGAUUAGCUAGUUGGCAGGGCAGCGGCCUACCAAGGCGACGAUCCAUAGCCGGCCUGAGAGGGUGAACGGCCACAUUGGGACUGAGACACGGCCCAG
RNAcentral lists this ribosomal RNA (343 nucleotides) under uncultured bacterium. Its description in RNAcentral is "bacterial SSU rRNA". It matches the Rfam family "Bacterial small subunit ribosomal RNA", at positions 8 to 334 of the family's 1533-position model. The record is from RNAcentral.